This 269-nucleotide ribosomal RNA is filed under the name uncultured prokaryote. Its description in RNAcentral is "partial 16S ribosomal RNA". It matches the Rfam family "Bacterial small subunit ribosomal RNA", at positions 524 to 792 of the family's 1533-position model. The record is from RNAcentral.
GACGAAGGUGGCAAGCGUUGUUCGGUAUUACUGGGCUUAAAGCGUGUGUAGGCGGAAUGGUAAGCGUCCUGUGAAAUCCCUCGGCUUAACCGAGGAAUUGCUUGACGAACUACCUUUCUUGAGGCAGAUAGGGGUGCGCGGAACUCUUGGUGGAGCGGUGGAAUGCGUAGAUAUCAAGAGGAACGCCGGUGGUGAAGACGGUGCACUGGGUCUGUUCUGACGCUGAGACACGAAAGCGUGGGGAGCGAACGGGAUUAGAUACCCCCGUA